This is a non-coding RNA of Brugia pahangi, 73 nucleotides long. The record is from Rfam. Lineage: Eukaryota; Metazoa; Nematoda; Chromadorea; Rhabditida; Onchocercidae.
GCCUUCCUAGCUCAGUUGGUAGAGCAUCAGACUUUUAAUCUGAGGGUCGUGGGUUCGAGUCCCACGGAGGGCG